GGUCCAGAAUGAUUUGAUUACCAGACGUGUCUGUUUGAAUCACAUGUCACACCUCACAGGCUAGCUACAUGCUAAAUAAGCAGAUGGUCUUUGAAAAAUGGCAGGGGUUUGUGUGUAUUUAUGAUGUGUUUCCAUGGUGAAGACUAGUGUGUGUUUGUGUGUAGUUCUGAUGUGUUUCCAUGGUGAAGACUAGUGUGUGUUUGUGUGUAGUUCUGAUGUGUUUCCAUGGUGAAGACUAGUGUGUGUUUGUGUGUAGUUCUGAUGUGUUUACAUGGUGAAGACUAGAGUGUGUUUGUUUGUUCUGAUGUGUUUACGUGAUGAAGUCUAGUGUGUGUUUGUGUGUAGUUAUGAUGUUUACGUGGUUAAGACUAGUGUGUGUGUGUGUGUGUGUAGUUAUGAUGUUUACGUGAUGAAGUCUAGUGUGUGUUUGUGUGUAGUUCUGAUGUGUUUCCAUGGUGAAGACUAGUGUGUGUCAUUGUUGGGUUA
Molecule: long non-coding RNA, 486 nt
Organism: Clupea harengus (Atlantic herring)
Lineage: Eukaryota; Metazoa; Chordata; Actinopteri; Clupeiformes; Clupeidae
Source: Ensembl